UUUACGUUUCUCACUCUCUGUGAGAAACUCAAAAAUCUGUAUCCAUAUUUUUACAUAUUGGGUUCUGAAACAAAAAAAAUAAUCAAAAACGGGUUUAAGUUGCUGUUAAGCUCUGAAUAUAUUUGAUCGACAUCAAAAUGUCUAACUAUACACCAAAGAAUAUACUCAUUACUGGGGCCGCAGGGUUUAUUGCAUCUCAUGUUGCCAACCGCCUUGUUCGGAGUUACCCUGAUUACAAUAUUGUGGUUCUUGACAAGCUUGAUUAUUGCUCAAACCUGAAAAAUCUUUCCCCAUCUCGAUCUUCCCCUAAUUUUAAGUUUGUUAAGGGAGAUAUUGGCAGUGCUGAUCUUGUUAACUACCUUCUCAUCACCGAGAACAUUGACACUAUAAUGCACUUUGCUGCUCAGACCCAUGUCGACAACUCCUUUGGUAAUAGCUUUGAGUUCACCAAGAACAACAUUUAUGGCACACACGUGCUAUUAGAGGCAUGCAAAGUUACUGGUCAGAUCAGAAGGUUUAUACAUGUUAGCACUGAUGAGGUUUACGGAGAGACUGAUGAAGAUGCUGUUGUAGGAAAUCAUGAAGCAUCGCAACUUCUCCCCACAAACCCAUAUUCAGCCACGAAAGCUGGAGCUGAAAUGCUUGUUAUGGCAUAUGCAAGAUCAUAUGGAUUGCCUGUUAUCACCACUAGAGGGAACAAUGUGUAUGGUCCCAAUCAAUUUCCUGAGAAGCUAAUCCCAAAGUUCAUACUUUUAGCUUUGAAUGGGAAGCCUCUUCCGAUUCACGGAGAUGGUUCAAAUGUUAGAAGUUAUCUCUAUUGUGAGGACGUUGCUGAGGCUUUCGAAGUUGUUCUUCACCGAGGUGAUGUUGGUCAUGUUUAUAACAUCGGGACUAAGAAAGAGAGGCGAGUGAUUGAUGUUGCCAAAGAUAUAUCCAAUCUUUUUAACAAGGAUCCAGACACAAGCAUUCAGUUUGUGGAAAACAGGCCCUUCAAUGACCAGAGGUAUUUCCUAGAUGAUCAGAAGUUGAAGAACCUGGGUUGGUCCGAGAAGACCACCUGGGAAGAGGGUCUGAAAAAAACCAUGGAGUGGUAUGUCAAUAAUCCUGAUUGGUGGGGAGAUGUCUCUGGGGCAUUGCUUCCCCAUCCUAGAAUGCUGAUGAUGCCUGGUGGGGUAGAGAGAAAUUCGGAUGGAGCUGAAAAAGAUGAUUCUGGAUCAUCUGAGAUCUCAGGAAACAUGAAACUUAACGGAAUGGUAGUUCCAGCUUCCAAGAUCAGCAACUCCCCUAGUAGAUCACCUUAUAAGUUUUUGAUUUAUGGUAGAACUGGGUGGAUUGGUGGUCUCCUAAGCAAACUGUGUGAGAAACAGGGAAUUCCUUAUGAGUAUGGAAAGGGACGUCUGGAGGAUCGCUCACAACUUUUGUCAGACAUUCAUGCUGUGAAGCCCACACAUGUAUUCAAUGCUGCUGGUGUCACUGGCAGACCCAACGUUGAUUGGUGUGAGAGUCACAAACCAGAAACAAUUCGUACAAAUGUUGCUGGUACUCUAAACUUGGCAGAUGUUUGCAGAGAGAAUGGACUCCUGAUGGUGAACUUUGCCACUGGCUGCAUAUUUGAGUAUGAUGCUGCACAUCCAGAAGGUUCUGGUAUUGGGUUCAAAGAGGAAGACACACCCAAUUUUGCUGGUUCUUUCUAUUCAAAGACCAAGGCCAUGGUUGAAGAUCUGUUGAAAAAUUAUGACAACGUUUGCACACUGAGAGUUCGCAUGCCAAUAUCUUCAGAUCUCAGCAACCCUCGCAAUUUCAUUACCAAGAUCAGCCGCUAUAAUAAGGUGGUCAAUAUUCCUAACAGUAUGACCAUAUUGGAUGAGCUUCUUCCUAUUUCAAUUGAGAUGGCAAAGCGUAAUCUCAGAGGCAUAUGGAAUUUCACAAACCCGGGUGUUGUGAGCCAUAAUGAGAUAUUGGAAAUGUACAAGAAAUAUAUCGAUCCAGCAUUUACUUAUGCCAACUUCACGGUGGAAGAGCAGGCCAAGGUAAUCGUUGCAGCUCGCAGUAACAAUGAGAUGGAUGCAUCAAAGUUGAAGAAAGAGUUCCCCGAGUUGCUAUCAAUUAAAGAGUCGCUGAUCAAGUACGUUUUUGAACCAAACAAGAAAACCUCUGCAUAAAAAGGCCGUGUUCUCAGGAAUUGUGUAUGCUAUUUUAGCUAUUAUUUCAUUAUUAGUUCCUCGAAUUCGCUAGAUAUUCAUUAGUGAUUUAGCUGUUGUUCCUUGUUAUUUUUGUAUGAAUUCAUAAUCUGUGCCUUCUUUGGGGAAGAUUUGGAAUAUUGGAUAGGCUGUGUUCCCUGUAUCUGUUGUUAAAUGAGUUUGUGUUAAAGAUCUUGUGUACUUUGUUGACUUUGAUAUAUGGAUGUAUGAACUUUUUCUUGCUCAACCUCACUACUCUUUUUUCUU
RNAcentral lists this unclassified non-coding RNA (2447 nucleotides) under Hevea brasiliensis (rubber tree). Lineage: Eukaryota; Viridiplantae; Streptophyta; Magnoliopsida; Malpighiales; Euphorbiaceae. The record is from RNAcentral.